GGGGCGGGUUCCGCCCGCCAGUGGCUGCACUGCUGGUCUUCAUCGCCGCUCCUGUCAGAUCCAGCAGGACCUAUCCUAUCGGUUCUCCAUCGCUUCACUCUGCUUCAUCUGCAUAUCUGCGGAGAAGAUGACGACCCUGCCCCUGUUCUUCGCCAGCCACACUCUCCCUUGUGCGGUUGGGGAGAAGUAGAGAAGUAUUGUACUGCUUGGAGAAAGAUAUGAGAAAUCAGCAGGCAUGAACUCGACUGGUAUACAGGCUCAUCUUAAAGAAAAGGUUGGCAGAAGGUACUUUGGAGGUCCGCAACAUGUACGGGGCUGCUCUGGUGCCUGCAGCUUGCCGCGGAAAAGGACAAUUGCGCCUGCUCCGUCCCCUACAACAGGGUCUCAAUUCUUCAAUGGGUGACUGAAUGAGACCACGGCCAGUCUCACUGCGACGUGUACUCCACCUACAUCGACGUGUACUCCACCAAGUAUAGGCUCAUUAGUCGGGCCAAGAAGCUCGGUAAACAUUUGAUGUAACCUCACCAAAGAGAGUUAGCUACAUGCUGCGAUGAAGUUUGGAAGUCAAUGUCAGGUGCUAAAAUUUGCAGGCCGGGCAUCAAACUGGUAAUGUUCAGUCUGCAGUCUGCAGUCUGCACUCGACACUAUUACCGUGCAUCGACGGCGGUAGAGCCUCAGCUAGACAUAUUAACUUUCAAAGUCUGAAGGCCAAGCAAGGGACUGGCUUACUUAUUAGUAUGUCGUUAAUUCUCAUGAAUCCAAUCGUCUUCUAAUUAAUUUUUCUCUUCAUGUAUCUUUAAUAUGGCUUGCAAAUUAAACUUGAUAUUGCUAAUGUUCUUCUCA
Non-coding RNA from Triticum urartu, 843 nucleotides. Lineage: Eukaryota; Viridiplantae; Streptophyta; Magnoliopsida; Poales; Poaceae. The record is from RefSeq and is a predicted model, not a curated record.